This 69-nucleotide transfer RNA is filed under the name Ibalia sp. ZJUH 20220011. RNAcentral describes it as "tRNA-Asp". The record is from RNAcentral. Lineage: Eukaryota; Metazoa; Arthropoda; Insecta; Hymenoptera; Ibaliidae.
AAAAAAUUAGUUAAUUAAGUAUAACAUUAAAAUGUCAAAUUAAAAUUAUUAAUAUAUUAAUAUUUUUUA